AUAUAAUACACUUGAUGGAUAUUCAGAUACAGUCUUAUGCUAAGUGUUUUAAAACCCUUUUAGUUACUCGGAAGCCUGUAACUGAAGAAGUAGCAAAAACAGCUCAGCAGAUGGAGGAAGAACAACUGAGAAGAGUUAAAGUUCCAGAAGUUCCAUCCAAAAAACCUGCAAAGAGGGUCAUUCAUGAGGAAGUUAUAGAACGAAAAGUCCCAGCUGAAGAGAGAUGGACAAUUUCAGAAGAAAAAGUGACUGUUUCAUAUCAUGAAGAAGAAUAUUCAUAUGGCUCAGGUAGUUACAAACAUAUAUUAUUAAUUUUUUUCUCUUACCACCGUGUCCUAUAUAAAAAAUGAA
This 351-nucleotide long non-coding RNA is filed under the name Naja naja (Indian cobra). RNAcentral's name for it is "lncRNA (ENSNNAG00000000003.1)". The record is from RNAcentral. Lineage: Eukaryota; Metazoa; Chordata; Lepidosauria; Squamata; Elapidae.